CAUAAAUGUGUUUUGCAGACAGAAACGUAACCACGCCAUGGUUUUGCUUGAUGUGAUAGCUCCAGCCAAGAUGCAUAGGCAGGGGAAAUUAAGUGACAAAACGUUAAAACUUGUGGUCAUACUUCACAUUACAAUGCCCUUGCUGUGUAAUUAUUAUUGUAAGCUUAAUACAUAAUCGAAAAAUUUUGAAAAUAGUAUUGUAAAUGACUUGCUUGACCUGCUAUGGGAAAUAAACUACUGACAUGUACUUGUUUUUACAUCUACUAAUCUGCACACAAGGGUAAUCGGGAAAACAUACACUGAGAGUACAAAAUAUUAGGAACACCUGCUCUUUCCAUGACAUAGACUUAUCAAGUGAAUUCACGUGAAAACUAUGAUCCCUUAUUAAAUCCACUUCAAUCAGUGUAGAUGGAGGGGAGGACACAGGUUAAAGAAGGACUUUUAGCCCUGGGAUAACUGAGACAUGGAUUGUAUAUGUGUGCCAUUCAUAGGGUGAAUGGGCAAGAGUCUUUGAACGGGGUAUGUUAGUAGGUGCCAGGUACUCCGGUUUGAGUGUGUCAAGAACUGCAACGCUGCUUGGUUUUUCACACUCAACAGUUUCACGUGUGUAUCAAGAAUGGUCCACCACCCAUAGGUCAUCCAGCCAACUUGUCACAACUGUGGGAAGCAUUGAAGUCAACAUGGGCCAGCAUCCCUGUGGAAUGCUUUUGACACCUUGUAGUCAAUGCACCGAUGACUUGAGGCUGUUCUGACGGAGAAAAAGUGGUGCAACUCCUUAGUAGGAAGGUGUUCCUAAUGUUUUGUUCACUCAGUGUAUGUUAAUGCUGCCAUAUAAAUGCAAAAACAUAUCCCAUAGUAUAAUAUAGAAUAUCUGCCAUUGGAAUGUUUGUCACCUUCAACAUUUGGACUUUAAUAGCAGGAGGUGAGGGAUGGAAUAUGACCUGGCGCGAGAACCGGAUACGAUGCCCUCAUGAAAGAACAUGAGUUUCUGCCAGGCCAUUGUUAUCCAUACGAAGAUGAAUGGCUAUCCAGCUAAUGAACAUCUGCCUAACCUGCAGAAGGACUCCAACAGACACUGGCACCUUGAACUGACCAUCAAGCAGAGCAGCUGCUCUGCUCCAAAAUAUUUUAAGGAUGAUGCAAAUAUAGAAUGAUAGUGGAUAGGAAUGCAAAUGUAAUUGUAAUAAUUGAAUACUUAGAUAAGGAGGAUCAAUGGCUUUCUUCCUAUAUGUAUCUAAAAUUCUGAAGUUCAAACUCUUGACCUACACUAUGCUAUCAGCCCACUAUCUAGUCUGCUCCAUGAAGACUGAGAUAACUUAAGAUAGAUACUGUAUGUCCCAAAAUGGGUUUCAGUUUAUUGCAUUUUGCUGAGAACAUAAAUGCAUCUAAAAGUCAUAUAUUCAGGAAAGAUGCAGAUAUGUAUUUUUAACAGUCUGAAGCAGAGGCGGCACCACAUGUUCAAAAGUGGUGUGGCAAAAUGUGUAUGUGUCUUUUCUGGGCAUGAAGGUUUUACUUUUUCAUCUGUGCUAUGACGAUAGGGCUGGGUUUUUUCUUGUCGGGUCAUGUGAAUUGGAAACACUCCUGGCCUAAGGUGGAUCAAACCAUUUCAAACUACCACAAACUUUGUUAUUAUUCAUUCUGAAUCUGUUAUCAAAAGAGCCAGAGACAAAAACUUAAAUGGACAACAUACUCUGUAGUUUAGUGAACUACUAUAGCAGGGCUGAGCAUUAUGCACAGAAUGGUUACAAUGUCUUUAAAUAUGAAUGUCACUCGAUACACAUAUAAUGUUAAGCAGUGGACUUUGAAAUAUUAAAAAGAGAGACAGGUUUCAAUGUAGAAAAGUAUUUUAAUUUUAUGCCAUAUAUUAUCUGUUUAUCUGAUUACUGUGCUCUUCUGCAAUUAUUUAUUUUGUAAGCUUUAUGUAAGGCAGGGUUACAUUUAAUACCAUACACAGUUGUCAUAAUCGUCGUAUGGAGUGGACCAAAAUGCAGCGGGUAUAUGAAUGCUCAUCUUCUUUUAUUGAAGAAAACCAAAACAAAACACUUAUACAAAACAAACGACGAAAACAGUCCUAUAAUAUACACUGACUAUACACGGAGACAACCACCCACAAAACACAAGCUGAAAACCCCUACUUAAAUAUGGCCUCCAAAUAGAGGCAACGAAGAACAGCUGCCUCCAAUUGAAGGCCAAACCAAAACCCUGAACAUAAAAAUAGAACAACAUAGAACAGUACCCAAAAAACCCAACAACACAAAACAAACACACCCCUGGCACAUCCUGACCAACUACAAUAACAAAAUGACCCCUUUACUGGUCAGGACGUGACAGUACCCACCCCAAAGGUGCAGACCCCGAAUGCACCUGAGACAAAAACUCACAAAAAACAAUAACCCCAAACUAAAGGGAGGGAAGGGAGGGUGGCCACCGUCACUGACGGUUCUUGUGCAACACCCCCCCUUCCCAAUCCUCCCCCCUAUGGAGAUGGCUCAGGAGCGGGACGCCGACCCCGGACUGGGGACCCUCGCAGCGGGCGACUCUGGCAGCGCCGGACUGGCGGGCGACUCUGGCUGCGCCGGCCUGGCGGGCGACUCUGGCUGCGCCGGCCUGGCGGGCGACUCUGGCUGCGCCGGCCUGGCGGGGGACUCUGGCUGCGCCGGACUGGCAGUCGACUCUGGCUGUGCCGGACUAGCGGGCGACUCUGGCAGCGCCGGACUGGAGGGCGACUCUGGCAGCGCCGGACUGGAGGGUGACUCUGUCGGUUCCGGACUGUGGGCCGUCUCUGCAGGCUCCGGACUGUGCGCUGGACUGGAGGGCGACUCUGUCGGUUCCGGAGUGUGGUCCAUCUCUGAAGGCUCCGGACUGUGGGCCGUCUCUGUCGGCUUCGGACUGUGGGCCGUCUCUGUCGGCUCUGGACUGUGGGCCGUCUCUGUCAGCUCCGUACUGUAGGAUGUCGCCGGAAGCACUGGACGGGGAACUGUCGCCGGAAGCUCUAGACGGGGCACUGUCGCUGGAAGCUCUAGACGGGGCACUGUCGCCGGAAGUUCUGGACGGGGAACUGUCGCCGGAAGCUCUGGACGGGGAACUGUCGCCGGAAGCUCUGAAUGGGGACUGCGCACUGAAGGCCUGAUGCGUGGGGCUGGCUUUGGAGGCACCAGACUGGUGACACACACCUCAGGGCUAGUGCGAGGAGCAGGAACAGGACGUACUGGACUGGGCAGGCGCACUGGAGGCCUGAUGGGUGGGGCUGGCUUUGGAGGGGCCAGCCUAGUAACACGCACCUCAGGGCUAGUGCGGGAAGCAGGAACAGGGUACACUGGGUCCUGGAGACGCACUGGCGGUCUGGAGCAUACAGCCUGCACAACCCUUCCUGGCUGAGUGCUCAACCUAGCCUGGCAACGCUGAGGAGCUUUCACCGAUUGCACCAGCCUUUGAAUGCGUCUGGGCAAUACAGUGCGCAUUUCCGCAUAGCUCGGUGCUUUCUUGAUCCGUCACUCCCCAUAAUAAGCACGGGAAGUUGGCUCAGGACUCCGACCUGACUUAGCCACAGUACCCGUGUGCCCCCCCCAAAAAUGUUUCGCACUUGCCACUCGGUGCGUAUAACGCCUCGUAAUGGCGCCGUUCCGCCUUGGCUGCCUCCAGCUCCUCCUUAGGGUGCCGGUACUCCCCAGGCUGGUGCCAUGGUCCUGCCCCAUCCAGGAUCUCCUCCCAGGUCCAUGACUCCUUAUAGCUCCUCUGCUGCUCCUUCCUCCGCUGCUUGGUCCUCUUUUGGUGGGUGGUUCUCUCCAUGUAUAGUCAGUGUACCUUACAGGACUGUUUUUGUCGUUCUUUUGUUCAGUGUUCAUUUUCUUUCAAUAAAACAAGAAGAUGAUUCAUAUACCCGCUGCAUUUUGGUCCACUCCAUACGACGCUUGUGACAACAGUAGACUUUGUUCUAAUGUGUCGUAAAACCAAUUUCUUCAUCAUCUGAUUAGUGUUCUUCUGAAAUAAUGUAUUAUUUUAAGUCCUACUCCAGUAUUCUGUUCACCUCAUAUAACACCUGAGUUACUUAACAAAAGUUACAUCUCCAGGGCUUUAAAUUAAACAUUUUCAUUGAAGCACUAGUGCUCCCAACUUUAAAAAGUUAGGAGCACAACAUAAAAUCUAGGAGAACCAGAAUAUAUAUACACUGCUCAAAAAAUAAAGGGAACACUUAAACAAAAACAAUGUAAAUCCAAGUCAAUCACACUUCUGUGAAAUCAAAUUGUCCACUUAGGAAGCAACACUGAUUGACAAUAAAUUUCACAUGCUGUUGUGCAAAUGGAAUAGACAACAGGUGGUAAUUAUAGGCAAUUAGCAAGACACCCCCAAUAAAGGAGUGGUUCUGCAGGUGGGGACCACAGACCACUUCUCAGUUCCUAUGCUUCCUGGCUGAUGUUUUGGUCACUUUUGAAUGCUGGCUGUGCUUUCACUCUAGUGGUAGUGUCUGAUUAUUUCUGGCUGGAUACUCUCCUGACAUAAUCUAAUGUUUUGCUUUCGUUGUAAAGCCUUUUUGAAAUCGGACAGUGUGGUUAGAUAAAGGAGAGUCUUGUCUUUAAAAUGGUGUAAAAUAGUCAUAUGUUUGAAAAAUUGAAGUUUUCGGAUUUUCGAGGAAUUUGUAAUUCGUGCCACGCCCUAUCAUUGGAUAUUGGAGCGGUGUUCCGCUAGCGGAACAUCUAGAUGUAAGAGUUAACCAUGUAAAGACAUUUGUUUAUUAUAAAAAGCUAAAAUGUUGAUACAAAAAUCUGUCAUUGAAAUUACACAUUUCAUUUGAGGAAUAUUAGGUUUCUACAUUGUGUAAAAGCAAUACCUAUUUUGAUGCAUUACAUUGAAAAUUCUACACUGUCUCUUUAAGAGCGUCAAGUUCGUGAGUGUUGACAUGCAAGAGAUCAGUCAUUCAUUCAUUGCUAUGAUCAUUGAUCUUCUAAAGAAGCUAUCCUUUUCCCUUUAUUUCUGUGCCCCCAAAUGUUUAGAUAUACCGGUAAAGUAGCCAGGUUCUUAGCUAGCUAAUGAAUUAACAUGACUGCACAAGGUGUAAACAAAUGUCCGUGAGUUGUUUUGGAAUGACCCGCGACAUUUAUUAAACUAACUUUUUGGUCCACCAGGCACUGUGUCAGGUAGAUGAAAAAAUGGUCUUGGGUAGCAGUAGCAGAUUGUUUCAUCUUCUUUAUCCUGUGCCAAACACAUUUAUUCAGUGAGUCUAAAUUAUUAAUGUUAGCUACUGGCUGCAUGAUUGCAUCAACCUAGCUAGCUAAUGCUAGCUAGCUAACUAUCUAUUUAGGCUACUUAAGAAAACGUUAGUUGUUUUGUUAGCUAUAGAUUGGAUCAUUCUAGAUAGUUUUAGAGGAUGACUAAACUGCUUUUAUUAACUGCUUUUAUUAACACACCUUGUAUUUCAUGAAAAUAUGUGUUCGCACUCUCACGAGGUAGGCAGGCAGGAGAGGAGCAUGAGUGAGCGAAGAAAGAAGCAAAAUGCAGAGUGCAGAUUCAAACAACGAGGUGCUGGUGCAACCGAACAUAGUUGUUUAGAGGCGUGGUUGAUG
This 5561-nucleotide long non-coding RNA is filed under the name Salmo salar (Atlantic salmon). Its description in RNAcentral is "lncRNA (ENSSSAG00000108912.1)". Lineage: Eukaryota; Metazoa; Chordata; Actinopteri; Salmoniformes; Salmonidae. The record is from RNAcentral.